This 506-nucleotide ribosomal RNA is filed under the name uncultured bacterium. RNAcentral's name for it is "partial 16S ribosomal RNA". It matches the Rfam family "Bacterial small subunit ribosomal RNA", at positions 29 to 523 of the family's 1533-position model. The record is from RNAcentral.
AGUGAACGCUGGCGGUAGGCCUAACACAUGCAAGUCGCACGGCAGCACAGGAGAGCUUGCUCUCUGGGUGGCGAGUGGCGGACGGGUGAGGAAUACAUCGGAAUGCACUUUUUCGUGGGGGAUAACGUAGGGAAACUUACGCUAAUACCGCAUACGACCUAGGGGUGAAAGCAGGGGACCUUCGGGCCUUGCGCGAUUGAAUGAGCCGAUGUCGGAUUAGCUAGUUGGAGGGGUAAAGGCCCACCAAGGCGACGAACCGUAGCUGGUCUGGAAGGAUGAUCAGCCACACUGGAACUGAGGCACGGUGCAGACUCCUACGGGAGGCAGCAGUGGGGAAUAUUGGACAAUGGGCGCAAGCCUGAUCCAGCCAUACCGCGUGGGUGAAGAAGGCCUUCGGGUUGUAAAGCCCUCUUGUUGGGAAAGAAAUCCAGCUGGCUAAUACCCGGUUGGGAUGACGGUACCCAAAGAAUAAGCACCGGCUAACUUCGUGCCAGCCGCCGCAGUAA